UGUACUGCAAAAGAAGCAGAACGGCUCUGUUUUGUACUUCAUUGUAGUACAUGUGGAAAAAUUGAAUUCGUACCGUUUAUACUUUUUUUUUUUCAUAAUAAAAUAAAAUAGUUCAUACAAAGUCAAAUAUACAACUUUUUUCAAAAUCAAAAUCUGAUUUUAAAAUAUUACUUACAAAUCAAACGCAGCAUUAAAAUCAGCAGCUGAAUCGUGCGGGAAUUAUUCUUGCUCGAGGAUUGGUUUCGCGGGUUGAGGGAGGAGAGAGAGAGAGAUUGAUCGGCUUCUCUCACUGUGAUUCAAGGAAGAUUGGGAAUAAUGGCAAUGGCAUUGAGCUGAGCUGAAUGAUCGAAUACCAGGCGACACAACGGAAUACCGACAUGCAUCUCUAGGAGAUGCAAAUGAUAGGAUGUGGGCAAAGCAGUCUCCCGGCAACAAUUCGAGACUCAUCGCUUAAUUAAUUCUGUAAUUCUAUGCCGAAUGCUAUUGGAUAUGUUUGAUAUUAUACCCCUUGCUAUCAUAUAAUUUGUUGAAAAGAACAAUUUGUAAACAUGCCAAUGGGUUGCUAAUAUAAGGAAGGAGGAUAGUGCCAGAGCGACA
Punica granatum (pomegranate) is the source of this 597-nucleotide non-coding RNA. The record is from RefSeq and is a predicted model, not a curated record. NCBI's taxonomy places the organism in Eukaryota, Viridiplantae, Streptophyta, Magnoliopsida, Myrtales, Lythraceae.